GAUGAACGCUAGCUACAGGCUUAACACAUGCAAGUCGAGGGGUAACGAGAGGAAAGCUUGCUUUCCUUGUCGACGACCGGCGCACGGGUGAGUAACGCGUAUCCAACCUGCCCCCAACUAGGGAAUAACCUUGCGAAGGUAAGACUAAUACCCUAUAAAUUCUUCAGAUGACAUCUGAAGAGGAAUAAGAUUUAUCGGUUGUGGAUGGGGAUGCGUCUGAUUAGCUUGUUGGCGGGGUAACGGCGCACCAAGGCAACGAUCAGUAGGGGUUCUGAGAGGAAGGUCCCCCACUUGGAACUGAGACACGGUCCAAACUCCUACAGGAGGCAGCAGUGAGGAAUAUUGGUCAAUGGGCGGAAGCCUGAACCAGCCAAGUAGCGUGCAGGAUGACGGCCCUAUGGGUUGUAAACUGCUUUUAUACAGGAAUAAAGUUAGCCACGUGUGGUUAUUUGUAGGUACUGUAUGAAUAAGGACCGGCUAAUUCCGUGCCAGCAGCCGCCGCAA
This 504-nucleotide ribosomal RNA is filed under the name uncultured bacterium. RNAcentral's name for it is "partial 16S ribosomal RNA". It matches the Rfam family "Bacterial small subunit ribosomal RNA", at positions 28 to 523 of the family's 1533-position model. The record is from RNAcentral.